UCGGCGCACCCACCUCGCUCGAGGUUGGGCGAGCGCGGAAGUAGAGUUCGGGACGGCGGAUCGGAAUCCAUCGACCGAUUCUCUCUUUCUCUCCUCUCCCUUGGAUUCCUGUAGGCGGUGGAUCAAUCUUGCCUUCGUGGUGGCGGCAGAACGAGCGCCGUGAGAUCAGGUGGACCUGCUUCUGAUUCCUCCUGGUGCUUGGGACGUUUUCGGCUGGAUUGAUUUACUAGCUACGUCCAAGCAGGCCACUGGAUUGAUUUCAUGAGGCUUACUAGCUACGUCCCAAUCAAGAUAGCUAGACUUACUAGCUACGUCCCAAGCAGGCCAAUCCAAUAUGUUGAUCAAUUUGAUUGUUCUGGCUGGAGGUCAGGAGGUCAGAAGGUGCGUCCUUCACACUAAAUCGUACCCGAAGUUCUACAAUUAGUGCACUGCGGGAGCGUGUACUGUGACUAUUUCUGCACUGCCGAGGAAGGCUUGAUCUUUCCCAUAGGUCCACCUUCUUUACCUUUCCGUUCUUUGAACUGGAUAAGUUCUGAUAUUCUAACAUUGAUGGAAAAUCAUUAUCUUCUAUAAAGCCACAUUUCAUUUUAUGAUUUUUAGCAGAAGCUCGCUUCGAGGUCUUGGUGUGGGGCUGCUGGGGAAGGGAAUGUCCUUCUACUUAGUGAAAGUCGUUGUUGCUGAGGCUGAUUUUACCUUCUUUCUAAGUGUUCUAUUUUAUUAGUGCAAUUGGUUCGAGUUAAACUAACAUCCAUCGUACAAAUAUUUGUGGGACAUAUUCAGAAAUCUGGAAAGAAGCGAGGAUUCUCAAGUAAGAUAAGUCUGCUUACAAAAAUUUGCCUACUGGAAAGUAGAUAAGAGACUCAUGAAGUAAGAAUACAUGCCUACAUAUUAUACAUAGCAGGCUUCUGACUUCUCUGAUUCUGCAAGCCUUGAGGCUGUGAAACAUCUAUGCUAGGUCGCCACACUUCUGCCACCUUCAUUUGAUGAGGUUCAGCGUUCACUACUAUGAAAGAAGAAUGGCAGUAGAAUGGCAGUGAGAACGAGUAAAAAUCUAGAACAGUAUGACUGUAUGGUUCUCACUCAAAGUAGAGGCCCAACAAACUUUUUUGAAGUAGGAGUCGAAAACUACAAAUCCAUCUAUUCCUAGAAUGGAGCUGGUUGGAGUUGAGCCUACAAUUGGGCGGGUAGUUCGGUGGCACCGACAUCCAGCUGAAAGUUUUAUAGGAGGGUUAGUAAAGCAAAUUUGUUCAUGAGGAAAUGUGCCAGCAAAACAUUGAGUCAGAGUGCAAGACAAAUGCUCUUAACAGUUUUUUUGUCGCUUUUCUUUAAUUACAAUUAUUAUUAUUUUUAGUUGGCAUUGAUGUACAAAAGAAAAUCCUGUGCCUUUUUUGUCCUCUCAUUGACCAUUGUAUUUUUGAGUCAUAUCAGUCUAUGUAAAAGAAUUCAGUACCUUAUGUUUUGUAUAUUUGGAAAUGUCUAAA
This is a non-coding RNA of Aegilops tauschii subsp. strangulata, 1481 nucleotides long. The record is from RefSeq and is a predicted model, not a curated record. Lineage: Eukaryota; Viridiplantae; Streptophyta; Magnoliopsida; Poales; Poaceae.